Molecule: long non-coding RNA, 671 nt
Filed under: Medicago truncatula (barrel medic)
Lineage: Eukaryota; Viridiplantae; Streptophyta; Magnoliopsida; Fabales; Fabaceae
Description: lncRNA gene20109
Source: RNAcentral
UGUUUAUUUUCUAUUUUUUAUUGUUUUACUGUUUUGAUUAACAUUUUUUAUUCUUAUAUUACUUUUUAUUGUGAUUUUGUGUGUGUGAAGAAUAUUGUGAUUUCUUAUAUUGUUGUUUUCUCAUUCAAAAUUGGUGUUUAUAUGUUCUUUGUCUUUGACCGGAUUCUUAUUUUGGACUUGGAAGUCUAUCAAGAGAAAAGAAGAAAUGCAUCACAUAUCAAUUAGAAUAUAUAUGAAGUAUUUAUUUUUAUGUAGUAUUUGUUUUUGGAAAUGAUGUUUAUCAAUUUUAUUGAUUAUUGAUAUUUUGUUGUUAUAGAGCUAUGAUCAAGGUCAUGUAUAACAUAAUGUUUUUGCCUUUUUCCAAACAUCACGCCUUGAACUUGAGGAAUCCAUGUUUCGUCUAUCAAUAUAUGUAUGCUUGAACAUAGUACCUAAAAAACUAAGCAAGUAGCAAAUCUAUAACCUUCAUUUUUUUUAUAUAACUGAGGAGAUGGGAGGUCAAAUCGAAAACACACUAACUCAUGGAGAUGGGAGCAAAUGAGAGAAAGAGGACCAAAACUUAGACUUGACGGCAACAUGGUCAUCACGUGACCACCUUAACUUAAUCAAUAUCAUCAUUUGAUUAAAAUCAAUCAAUGGCUAAAAUUUGGCAUGAAAUUAACUUUGACAUU